CAACAAACGCUGAGCGAAAACACGGUAUCCCUUCCUCCCCGCUCCUUCUUUCCAACUUCCCAGGCAAAGAGCUCAGAUAGUCCCUUCUUUCUUUCUUUUUUUUUUUUAAUAUUCCCGUUUGCAGCCUCUCAGCACACUUUUUUGCAGAAGAUACGAGAGUUCGCGGGGGGUCCCAGCCUACCUCACUACUCCACCCAUCGGGCCAGGAUGGUACUCCACACACCCAGCGCUGAUCGCCACCAGCACCGGCAUUUCGCUCGCAUUUGGACUCCAAGUCUACAGCCACCGCGUGUGACUAUGAUGUACUUCUCGAACCGGGAGCUAGAUCGUAACACGAAAGAGCAGAACGAGCUCAGACAGCAGCGCGGCGCAGGUUCGAGGUGAGGCUGAAUACCCAACACUCCUGCGCAGAGCGGUCUACGUGAUCCGGCACCAUGAGAAACCUCUGGCCUGAGUCUGGAGGUGACAGUCAGCACAGAUUUGGCCCAGAAAAAAGAGCUGCUGCAGAAUUUCCUGUCAGAGAGGAAGAAGGAAGUGGCUGGAGGAGAGAGAUUUUGGAGUCUGGUCCCUUCAAACAAUGAAAAUCUUACUUGCAAAGGAAGCGGACCUACGUCAAAGGAGACCCAAUAGAAUUCUGAAAGGCCAGCAGCAAUGACCCAGCCGAGACAUAAGCACAUAACUGUUUGACUGAAACCUCUAGAACAGCUCUUUCCACUGCCAGAAAGCAUGAAGAUCGGUUCUCUCAUUCAGAGACAAUAGCUGUUCCAAAAAAAGGAUUUAUUGCAAGGGUUUCCAGUAUUGAUAAAUAUUAUUGUCAUUCAUAACAAAGCCAGGUUCUGGGGACAUCCCAUAGGGAACAUCUGUGCUCUGUUUGGACACACAUGAUUGUGUUUAUUUUGAUUUCUCCAAAUGUGUGUUCACAAAUAAGAUAUUUCAGAAAAGAGCUUGUUACAGUGUAUCACGAUGAUGA
Long non-coding RNA from Scleropages formosus (Asian bonytongue), 970 nucleotides. RefSeq lists it as uncharacterized. The record is from RefSeq and is a predicted model, not a curated record. The transcript is spliced from 3 exons. NCBI's taxonomy places the organism in Eukaryota, Metazoa, Chordata, Actinopteri, Osteoglossiformes, Osteoglossidae.